This 798-nucleotide small RNA is filed under the name Pongo abelii (Sumatran orangutan). Its description in RNAcentral is "processed transcript". The record is from RNAcentral. Lineage: Eukaryota; Metazoa; Chordata; Mammalia; Primates; Hominidae.
AUCACUUUCUUGUCCUAAAAUCUCAAGGGAAGCCAAACUCACUGGCAUUUGCCUCUUCUUUAACUCCUGCCUUCCUUCAAAGCCUGGCUUCUGUUUAUCCCAUGAAACCUCCUGACAACACCAACUCAGAAGAAAAUGCUUCUUCCUCUUUUGAAGUUUCUUUUUUUUUUUUCUUUUUUUUUUCUUGAGAUGGAGUCUCACUCUGUUGCCCAGGCUGGAGUGCAGUGGUGCGAUCUUGGCUUACUGCAACCUCCACCUCCCAGGUUUAAGAAUGUUACAUUUGAUAUCAUAGCUACUGAAGAUGUAGGCAUUUUCGAUGUAAGAUCAAAAUUCCUUGGUGUUGAGAUGGAAAAGGUGCAACUCAAUAUUCAGGAUUUACUUCAGAUGCAAUAUGAAGGAGUAGCUGUAAUGAAAAUGUUUGAUAAGGUUAAAGUGAAUGUAAACCUUCUCAUAUACCUGCUGAACAAGAAAUUCUAUGGAAAGUGAAGUGCCUGCAGAAAUUUCACGGAUUCUGUAUCAUCUGGAUUAGGAAAUGAAUUUGUUUAAUAUUUUUGUUUUUAAACAUGAUUGAAAUCACUGCUUAUAAAUGUGUGAUUUUUUUUUAAAUGACCAAAACUGUUCUGAAGAAUGUACCCAGGUGCCUUUUUGCUAAUUUGAUACUAUAAUAGAAUGAGACAUAAAAUGAAUUAAUGGAAACAUAUCCACACUGUACUGUGGUAUAGGUACUCUGAUUUAAAACUUUGGACAUCCUGUGAUCUGUUUUAAAGUUGAGGGGUGGGGAAUUUAGCUGACUAGGGA